Long non-coding RNA from Choloepus didactylus (southern two-toed sloth), 1996 nucleotides. RefSeq lists it as uncharacterized. The record is from RefSeq and is a predicted model, not a curated record. The transcript is spliced from 3 exons. NCBI's taxonomy places the organism in Eukaryota, Metazoa, Chordata, Mammalia, Pilosa, Megalonychidae.
UCCAUGGAGACACUCAUAGGAUUCCAAUCUAAUCAUCACGAAUACGUCUGCCCCCACAAGACUGCAUCAAAGAACAUGGAGCUUUGGGGGACACAGUACAUCCAAACCGGCACACCCAGCCAGGCGGCCCGAUCCGUGGGAAGCAAAGCCGGCCGUGGAGGGGGAGCUCAACCGUUCCAGAAGCUGAGUCGGCGUGGACAGAACUCAGAGCUGGAGGGGGGUCCCCAGGGUCCCGGAAGUGCCUCCAGCUCCCGAGAAGCACCGUCGGCCCCGUGCUCCGGCCACAACCAGCGGGACUGGAAGCAGGUUUGUAGGACAAACGCCCAGAAUAACAACAGGUGAGGGACGUGCCGAGUGACGUAAGGCGUCCUGACCCGACGGCGACGACGGCACCACAGGGCACCGCCAGACGCUGCAGCAAGAGGCGCAGGCCUUGGGGACGGCAGGCACCGGGGACAGCGCCCUUCACGGAGGACGCCCGGUCACCGACUCAUGGCCUCGUGCUGAGCGGCUGUGGAGGGAGCCGCGGUGUGACCGAGGGGACGGGCGGACUUGGGGGGCCACGCUGGGUGGCCGGGGCGACAGCGAGCCCAGCUUUAUCGCCCCCUCGUCUCCAGCACCCUUGCAGUUGUCCUCAGAUAUGGAUCACGGGUGCUUUCUGGGUUAAAAUGUGAACGCCGUAGAGAACUCGGAUUUCAUGUCACAGAUCAAUCAAGACAGCAGAGGCCACGCACUUGUGGUGCUCGGGCAGCUCAGGGACGGGUCCUUGGCCCCAGGUUCUUCGGGACCCCACCCUCUGCAGCUGGCCGUGGCCCCCUCACCCUGGGCAGACCCUGGAGCCUUGGCUGCUGGCAGCAGAACUGAGUCUGGAGCCGAGGGGCACACGGGGCGCCACGGGAGGAGCAGCCGGCUGCAGAGGCGGGCUCCCCGGGGAUGCCUUCCGUGCCCGGCCCGGCCCCGGCAUUUUAGCAGAAGCUGCUGCCUGGAGCUUCCUGAGGGCGCCGGCCCAGCACCCGCGUCCCUGCUGCGCACCGUGACCCUGCACACGCGGAGGGCAGCUUGUGGGGCUCAGGCUGCACCUUGGGGUGCGUGGCCAGGGCUGCACCCACCCUUCCCUGUCCCUGUUUCUGCUGUCCCACCCAGAGCAGGUGGGUGAACUGAGGCUCCAUGACCCCGGCCCUGCCCCUCAGGAGGCCCCUCCCUGAGGACCUGGAGACCCACCUCACCCCCAGAUGCCACAACGGCCCCAACCCCACAGAGCCUCAGCUUCUCCGCAAACACCGACUCCUGCCGUGUGGUCCCUGCAGCAACGCCUGGGCACGUUCAGCCCAGACCCUCGGAGAAGAGGGACGUGGGGUGCGGCCGGCCUGACACCCGGGUCAGGGGCUGCCAGGAGCCCCCCAGCCUCGCAGAAGUGUCCCCAAGAAAGACUCCCGCGGAAAUGGUGACCCAAUGAGGCUCCUGGCCCUGACACCUAAGCGGCACCUUGGAGAGGCCAAAGAAAGGAGAGGGAGGCUGACACAUCUGAGGAUCCCACAGAGGAGCCGAGAGAACCCCUGGAGGACACAGACGGCGGCUCAGUCCUGGGUAGAGAAACGCGACUUCAGCUGCAGAGAGACACAACUGCAUUCCCGCUGGACCGGCAAGAAUGAAGGGACGAUGGUGUGGGGGGAGCACCCAGCCCCUCACCAAGUCGAUACAACCAUGUUGGCAAACUGGUCACGGGACUCGUGGAGCUGAGUGUCUGCACUUCCUACGACCGAACAAGCUGUAAGCAAGAGAAACAUGGACGUGCACCAAAAUGUUACACAGCAGCAUCACACGUCACCACCCCGAGCUGCAAACAAGCCACACGGCUGCGGGACACUGAUCACGUGCUUCAACUUGGCGGGCCUGGGCUGGGGGACCUGAUCAGCCCCUGGGGAGGGUGGUGGGCACGGGCGACAGCGCCCUCCGCAGCCCCCCGGGCCUGGGAAAGUGAGGCCGGAGGCAGGCC